RNAcentral lists this ribosomal RNA (501 nucleotides) under actinobacterium IIIL_D. RNAcentral describes it as "bacterial SSU rRNA". It matches the Rfam family "Bacterial small subunit ribosomal RNA", at positions 8 to 524 of the family's 1533-position model. The record is from RNAcentral. Lineage: Bacteria; Bacillati; Actinomycetota; Actinomycetes.
AGAGUUUGAUCCUGGCUCAGGAUGAACGCUGGCGUCGUGCUUAAGACAUGCAAGUCGAACGAUGACCCGGUGCUUGCACCGGUGAUUAGUGGCGAACGGGUGAGUAACACGUGAGUAACCUGCCCUUGACUCUGGGAUAAGCGCUGGUAAAACUGGGUCUAAUACCGGAUAUGACUCCUCAUCGCAUGGUGGGGGGUGGAAAGCUUUUUGUGGUUUUGGAUGGACUCGCGGCCUAUCAGCUUGUUGGUGAGGUAAUGGCUUACCAAGGCGACGACGGGUAGACGGCCUGAGAGGGUGACCGGCCACACUGGGACUGAGACACGGCCCAGACUCCUACGGGAGGCAGCAGUGGGGAAUAUUGCACAAUGGGCGCAAGCUCUGAUGCAGCGACGCCGCGUGAGGGAUGACGGCCUUCGGGUUGUAAACCUCUUUCAGUAGGGAAGAAGCUGAAAGUGACGUUACUGGCGGAGGAGGCGCGCGCUAACCAGCAGCCGCGGUAAU